Cyprinus carpio carpio is the source of this 1332-nucleotide long non-coding RNA. Lineage: Eukaryota; Metazoa; Chordata; Actinopteri; Cypriniformes; Cyprinidae. The record is from Ensembl.
AUUUCCUUUAGACAAGAGAAGGUGGCGGCGAUAAGACGUGAGGUGUCCAACUAAUGCAGAGUAUUCAAGUUGCCAACACACUGGUUGUGAAGUACCCUUUCAAGAGAAAUAUAAAAGGAAAUGACUGAAACUUGUGUUGGGGAGGAUUCAGUGUCUGUUGAGGUCCAUGUGAAUGUGCUACAAAGUGAGUAUCAGAAAACACAUCCAGACACCUGGACUGUCAAAGACCACACGGCACGAACAUUCUCCUGGAGACGCUGAGAAAGCACGGAAGGAAUGUCUGUGGAGGAUGUACUUAAAAACACCCAUACUUAAGAACACCUGCUGGAGUGAGUAUAGUAAAAUCAUCAACUGUAAAAUAUCUUGUUUCAAAUCUUUUCAUGCAAUAUUUUAUUCUUCUGUACCCUUUUAGCCCAUCUGUUAAAAAUUUGAAACAAUAGUUUUAGAAAACAAUGUAAGAUUUAUCAGUGUAUACAAGAACAUGAAAUGCAUUGUAUAUUGUGACCCUUAUACAGUACAUUAGCUUCUGAUUGUUUUUACAGUUCUGCACUGUAUGUAGCUACACUGUCUGAGCCAAAGAGGAUGGAACAGAAUUUGAUGAAUUUGAAAAGUGUCUUCUUUUUUUUUUUAAUUAUUAUUAUUUAUUAUUUAAUUUUAUGAUGAAGGGGGACCCUGCUACACUCUUUCCUACCAUACACCUGAUGGAUUCUGACUGGAAAAUGGUAAUCAUAGGAGGGUUCAGUGUGGUGACAGAAGAUGGAAUAGACGUGUGUCAGUGCACCAGCCUUGAUGAAGCCUUCAUAACAGCCUUCUGGAUGUAUUUUGCUUUCAACAUUACAUAUCCACCACACCUGAGAAAGACACUGACUUUCCUUCAGAGGCACAGUCAACAUUGUGGAAGAUGGAGACAAGCACUGCCAGUAACUUUCCUCUGAGUGAUCAGCCUUUUGUAUUAGAUCCUCAUGCCUCAACUGUACCAUUACACAAAGUGCACUCGAAGGACAUUCACUCUUUUGAAGUUAAUCGAACAUGUUGGAGUUGUACAUACACAUGAACCAAAUUUUAGUAUAACCUGUGGUAUAGAUGAGUGCCAAUCAACUUUUUUGUGAUUCCAUUCUUUUAGAAAACAUGCACAGGAAUCAUAUGUACUUUUGGUAAUAAAAAUGACUCUCAGUGAAGAGUCUGCAGUACAAUUAUAUUAUAAUAUAAUGGAGAAGGGUCUGGCUGCAGACUUGCACUUGCACUCUCAGACACUUGCGCUUCUGCUAGUGACAACACUUGCAGUCUUUUUUUUAUUUGUAUUUAGUUAUAUCUAUCUAUUUUUUUUUUUUU